GUCGGGCGAAGGAGUUUUCCUCCUCCAUCCUUAGCGGCGGGCCGGGUGAGUUAACCGGGUGGAUAACCUCCCGAUAAGGCGGGGAUAACUUGGGGGAAACCGGAGUCUAAUGCCGGGAUAAUAUUUUUAACCGCAUGGUUUCUAUGGUGAGAGGUCGGUUUUGUUUUUGUUAUAGAUGGUCUCCGCCGUCUUAGUAGUUGGUAGGGUUACGGCUUCCAAGGCGGCGAUUGUAUCCGACUUGAGAGGGUGUCCUCCCCCUUGACUGAGACGCGGUCCAUACUCCUCGGGAGGCCACAGUAGGGAAAUUUUGCCAAUGGGGGAAUCCUGACGGCGCACCCCCCCGGGAGAGAUAAAGGUCUUCGGGUCGUAAAACUCUGUUAUUAGGGAAGAACAGAUGUGUAAGUAACUAUGCCCGUCUUGACGGUUCCUCAUCAGAAAACCACGGGUUUUUCGUGCCCCCACCCCCGGUAAUACGUAGGUGGCAAGCGUUUUCCGGAAUUAUUGGGUUAAAGCGCGCGUAGGCGGUUUUUUAAGUUUGAUGUGAAAACCCCCGGCUCAACCCGGAGGGUCCCUGGAAACGGGAAAACCUGAGUUCAGAAAAGGAAAGUGGAAUUCCAAGGUAACGGUGAAAACGCAGAGAUAUGGAGGAACACCAGUGGCGAAGGCGGCUCUCUGGUCCGUAACCGACCCUGAAGGCGAAAACGUGGGGAUCAAACAGGAUUAGAUACCCCGGUAGUCCCCACCCGGCAACCCUAAAUAAGGGGGGGG
This 768-nucleotide ribosomal RNA is filed under the name Salmonella enterica subsp. enterica serovar Typhimurium. RNAcentral describes it as "partial 16S ribosomal RNA". It matches the Rfam family "Bacterial small subunit ribosomal RNA", at positions 61 to 827 of the family's 1533-position model. Lineage: Bacteria; Pseudomonadati; Pseudomonadota; Gammaproteobacteria; Enterobacterales; Enterobacteriaceae. The record is from RNAcentral.